GACGAACCGCUGGCGGCGUGCUUAGCACAUGCAAGUCGAACGUGAUUUUUGUGGAAAUUCUUUCGGGAAUGGAAGUGAAAAUGAAAGUGGCGAACGGGUGAGUAACACGUGAGCAACCUACCUUACACAGGGGGAUAGCCGUUGGAAACGACGAUUAAUACCGCAUGAGACCACAGAAUCGCAUGAUAUAGGGGUCAAAGAUUUAUCGGUGUAAGAAGGGCUCGCGUCUGAUUAGCUAGUUGGAAGGGUAAAGGCCUACCAAGGCGACGAUCAGUAGCCGGUCUGAGAGGAUGAACGGCCACAUUGGAACUGAGACACGGUCCAAACUCCUACGGGAGGCAGCAGUGGGGAAUAUUGCACAAUGGGGGGAACCCUGAUGCAGCGACGCCGCGUGAGCGAAGAAGGUUUUCGAAUCGUAAAGCUCUGUCCUAUGAGAAGAUAAUGACGGUAUCAUAGGAGGAAGCCCCGGCUAAAUACGUGCCAGCAGCCGCGGUAAUACGUAUGGGGCGAGCGUUGUCCGGAAUUAUUGGGCGUAAAGGGUACGUAGGCGGUUUUUUAAGUCAGGUGUGAAAGCGUGAGGCUUAACCUCAUUAAGCACUUGAAACUGGAAGACUUGAGUGAAGGAGAGGAAAGUGGAAUUCCUAGUGUAGCGGUGAAAUGCGUAGAUAUUAGGAGGAAUACCGGUGGCGAAGGCGACUUUCUGGACUUUUACUGACGCUCAGGUACGAAAGCGUGGGGAGCAACAGG
This 747-nucleotide ribosomal RNA is filed under the name uncultured Parvimonas sp. Its description in RNAcentral is "bacterial SSU rRNA". It matches the Rfam family "Bacterial small subunit ribosomal RNA", at positions 28 to 775 of the family's 1533-position model. Lineage: Bacteria; Bacillati; Bacillota; Tissierellia; Tissierellales; Peptoniphilaceae. The record is from RNAcentral.